Molecule: unclassified non-coding RNA, 387 nt
Filed under: fungal sp.
Lineage: Eukaryota; Fungi
Description: partial internal transcribed spacer region
Rfam family: Eukaryotic small subunit ribosomal RNA (bases 1-46)
Source: RNAcentral
AAGUCGUAACAAGGUUUCCGUAGGUGAACCUGCGGAAGGAUCAUUAUCCUUUAGCUUGUGCGAGUGUCACUUAUUGCACUUGUACUCACGAGCUCAUAACGCUCUUAUUGCGCGGCAGCUGCAUUCUCUAUAGAGGCAGCUACCAAAACAAAUCCACGGUAGGCUCUUUGCUACUGUGGUCAGGUACCUAGAAGCGGCUGUGCUCUUUUACUAGAGUCGGUCGUGUUGGCGUAAAGAUUGCACUCACUCGUAGUGUGACGCCUGUCUAGCUUACAAGUUUUCUCACCAUUUAAAUUACAUUAUUUAGAGUUGUGACUGUGUCGAAUUCUAUGCUAAACAUAGAUGAUUUAACACAUAAACAACCCUAUGCGGUGGAUCACUUGGCUC